CAAUGAUAAGAGUUGGUCUUCACUUUCUGGUAAGAUGGGGGUACCUUCACAAAGGGAAAUGUAUGCCCUGUUUUUAGGUAGAUAAGGGGAGGGCAGAGAACUCUUCCUGCAUCUGUUGAUUCUCAAUUGCCUUCAGUUCAGAAUAAUACUUGUGCCAAAGUAGCAAAUGUUGGGAUGGCAAAUCCUGAUCUUUCUUAACACUUAUCUGCAGGAUCACUGAUCCCAUUUGUUGGAGACAAAAAUGUUAAUAUACUUUUGCAGUGAAGCUUCAUUUAUAUCUAUGAAAGCACUGAAGUUGAAAGCCCUUUACCAGAGGAAUCUCUGUAAAGGUGUCAAGUUGAUUGUGACAAACCUCACAGUUGCUUAUGACCUAGCAGUAUAAUAUGACACUGAAGCUAAGAACUGGUGUGCUGGACAGUAAGAUUAGUCAGCUGAUCCUCACUAUGAGAUUAACAUUUAACCCAGUUGACAGAAGCAGACCUGGGACACAUAAAUAUUGAUGGCUGGGUAAGAGAAGCCAGAGAGAAGAACAGCAAAUGAAAUAACGGCUUUAGGGAUCCUGUGAUGUCCUUAGUUUUUGCUGUCUGACUUCUGCUUCUAUUACUGCAUGGAAAAUCUUCUUAUGUGGGCAACAAUGACCUUCUAGGUGCCAAACCCAAGUCAAAGAAACAGAUUAGGUGCUUAUCACACCUGACUUUACUAGAUGUCAAGCAUCCUGAAAGGAGGAACCAUGCCUUGCACAGAGUUUUGCAAAAAGGAAGCAUGCAGUCUCUCUUGCAGUGUGUGCAUACGGUUACAAAAAGAUGGGAGGAGGAAAUAUUUGAUUAAACUCUGAAUAUAAUCCUUAUUCUGCUGACAAGAUUGUAAGGUUCAUAGAGUUGCUAACCAAGCAGCAGCCACCAAAGCAUGUCAUCAUGGCACUUGAAACACCAGGGAGAGAAUAUUCUGGGGAAAAAAAAAUAACAGGUCACACGCAGAAGACAAAGAACCAAAAUGUCAUUGGUCCACCCAGCAGGAACAUUAGAAGCUAGAAGACCAUAGAGAAAUACAAUAAAUAGGGGAAAGAAUUUUAUCUCUAGAGUUCUGUACUUGAAGAAAAGUAUCAAAUGUAAAUGAUAAUAUUUCCAGAUAUGAAAAAUCUUGAGAUACAUAUGAUACAUCCAUUUUCAGGGGGCUACUAGAGAAUGUGCUUUACUAAACUAAGGGAAUAAUGUAAAGGAACAAUGUGAAACCAGAAAACAGGAAAUCCAUCACAGGAGAGGAUGAAAAAACCAAGUUGAUGAUGAUGGGUAGUAGCUGUGAAAGUGGUUGAAAGAGCAACCAGUUCAGAUUGGAGCAAGAAAAUAGAGAACUCUGGGGGAGAUGCCUCAAAGAUUAACACAAGGAGAUUGAAUACAUCAUUAGUAAGACUUGACAAUGUGAAAGCUUGUCUUGAGUCAUUUGUGAAAGCUUAUCUUGAGUCAUUUGUGAAAGCUAUUAAUGGGAGUGAGAAGAUUUAGCCAAAUGAAUCCAAGUAGGUGAGGUGGGGGGGGAAUGAAAAGUGAUUAUCAAUUCCAGAAAAAGCUAAGCAUUUUAUAAAAAUUUAGGUAGAAAAGCAAAAGGAAUUCUAAAAAUACUUUAGUCAACAGG
Molecule: long non-coding RNA, 1629 nt
Filed under: Homo sapiens (human)
Lineage: Eukaryota; Metazoa; Chordata; Mammalia; Primates; Hominidae
Description: HSALNT0378164
Source: RNAcentral